CCUACGGGAGGCAGCAGUGAGGAAUAUUGGUCAAUGGGCGCAAGCCUGAACCAGCCAAGUAGCGUGCAGGAUGACGGCCCUAUGGGUUGUAAACUGCUUUUAUAUGGGAAUAACGUGCAUUAUGUGUACUGCUUUGCAUGUACCUUAUGAAUAAGGACCGGCUAAUUCCGUGCCAGCAGCCGCGGUAAUACGGAGGGUCCGGGCGUUAUCCGGAUUUAUUGGGUUUAAAGGGAGCGUAGGCGGGUUGUCAAGCGUGCUGUGAAAGUUUGCGGCUCAACCGGGGAAUUGCAGUUGAUACUGGCGUGCUUGAGUACGGGAGAGGCAGGCGGAAUUCGUGGUGUAGCGGUGAAAUGCUUAGAUAUGACGAAGAACCCCGAUUGCGAAGGCAGCCUGCUGCACCGGAACUGACGCUGAUGCUCGAAAGCGUGGGUAUCGAACAGGAUUAGAUACCCCUGUAGUC
Molecule: ribosomal RNA, 460 nt
Filed under: uncultured bacterium
Lineage: Bacteria
Description: partial 16S ribosomal RNA
Rfam family: Bacterial small subunit ribosomal RNA
Source: RNAcentral